CCUACAGGGCGCAGCAGUGGGGAAUAUUGGGCAAUGGGCGCAAGCCUGACCCAGCAACGCCGCGUGAAGGAAGAAGGCUUUCGGGUUGUAAACUUCUUUUGUAAGGGAGGAGUAGAAGACGUUACCGGACGAAUAAGCCACGGCUAACUACGUGCCAGCAGCCGGGGUAAUACGUAGGUGGCAAGCGUUGUCCGGAUUUACUGGGUGUAAAGGGCGGGUAGCCGGGUUGACAAGUCAGAGGUGAAAUCCUGCGGCUUAACCGCAGAACUGCAUUUGAAACUGUUGAUCUUGAGUACUGGAGAGGCAGAUGGAAUUCCAAGUGUAGCGGUGAAAUGCGUAGAUAUUAGGAGGAACACCAGUGGCGAAGGCGGUCUGCUGGACAGCAACUGACGGUGAGGCGCGAAAGCGUGGGGAGCAAACAGGAUUAGAUACCCCAGUAGUC
This 442-nucleotide ribosomal RNA is filed under the name uncultured bacterium. Its description in RNAcentral is "partial 16S ribosomal RNA". It matches the Rfam family "Bacterial small subunit ribosomal RNA", at positions 338 to 795 of the family's 1533-position model. The record is from RNAcentral.